GUUUUUCUAUUUUAUUGUUUUCUAAUAAAUUUCUACUCCACCUUUUUUUCUGACCCUUGUGCUGCUGUAACAAGUAAAUUUCCCUAGUGUCGAAUUAAUAAAGUAUAUAUCUGUAAUUGUGUCUGUAUUUAUCUGUUCAUAUCAGUGUCAAUGGAUUUUCUGUCUAAAUGCCUCAGUAAUGACAUCUGCAGGCAAGAGAGAACAGGGCUGUCUCUGUGAGUGUGGGGGGCAGAGAGAAGGACUGCAUAGACUGUCCUCCUCAAGACAUAAACUUUCACAUCACUUUUGUGGACUUUCCUUCAAGCUGAACUCUGAUUGGCUACAACACAUCUGGGAGAACAUCUUCCCUAACCAAUAUCCAGAACACAAUGACAAUGCAUUGUUUCUUUAUCACGGUAUGAAAGUGAGUAGCUUAUUCAAAUUUGGAAAAUCAUUUUUAGCGACUUUUAAAAGUAACUUUUAUCUUGAACUUUUAAGCAGAAUGCAAAAAUUUAUUUUCAGAUUAUGUAUUGAUUUUUUUUUUUAAAAUGAGACGAUUUAUUUACUUUAUUUUAUUUUUUUUAAAAAGGCUGCUCACCUUCAACUCAAGCACUUGGGUCUUGAUGAAUGAGAACUUACACAGACAGUAGUGUAGCAAUUAACAGGUACUAAUUAAUUAAUGGAGUUAUAUGUGAUUUCUUGCUUAUAAAACUAGGGCUGCCACAAACGAUUAUUUUGAUAGUUGACUAGUCACCAAUUAUUUUUGCGAUUAGUCGACUAAUCAGAUCAUGCAUCCAUUGGACAUAAAACGUACAGCUUAUUGCACCAGCAUGCGUCUGCUCUUAUAUAACUAUCAUUAGCUUACAGCUUGAAGUGUUUAAGGUAUGUGCUAACUAAAAAUAAAAACAAGAUGAUAGUUUAUUAAACUUUUAAUGAGAUUUGCAGAUUGUCUCAGUAAAGUUUAAUAAACUCAGCCGUCUGCUCCUUGCUCACUAAAAUAUAUCAGGACACUAAAGUAAAUUCUCUACCAUCUCACACUUCUGUCUAAUCAGAUUUCUGUGUGAC
Molecule: long non-coding RNA, 1044 nt
Organism: Astatotilapia calliptera (eastern happy)
Lineage: Eukaryota; Metazoa; Chordata; Actinopteri; Cichliformes; Cichlidae
Source: Ensembl